Molecule: small nuclear RNA, 139 nt
Organism: Cynocephalus volans (Philippine flying lemur)
Lineage: Eukaryota; Metazoa; Chordata; Mammalia; Dermoptera; Cynocephalidae
Product: U4 spliceosomal RNA
Exons: 1
Source: RefSeq, a predicted model, not a curated record
AGCUUUGUGCAGGUGCAGUAUCAUAGCCAAUCAGGUUUAUCCGAGGAGUGAUUAUUGCUAAUUUAAAACUCUUCCUAACUUAAAUCCUAUUGUUUUUCUAUGAAAAUUUAGAGAUGUACAUAAUACCAUGUGCAUUUAU